UGAGGAAUAUUGGUCAAUGGGCGCAAGCCUGAACCAGCCAAGUCGCGUGAAGGAAGAAGGCUCUAUGGGUCGUAAACUUCUUUUAACUGGGAAUAAAACGGGGGAUGCAUCUCCCCUUGCAUGUACCAGUAGAAUAAGCAUCGGCUAACUCCGUGCCAGCAGCCGCGGUAAUACGGAGGAUGCAAGCGUUAUCCGGAUUUAUUGGGUUUAAAGGGUGCGUAGGCGGAUCAAUAAGUCAGCGGUGAAAUCCUGAGGCUCAACCUCAGCACUGCCGUUGAAACUGUCGAUCUUGAGUGUAAAUGAAGUAAGCGGAAUGCGUGGUGUAGCGGUGAAAUGCAUAGAUAUCACGCAGAACUCCAAUUGCGAAGGCAGCUUACUAAGCUACAACUGACGCUGAAGCACGAAAGCGUGGGUAUCGAACA
This 422-nucleotide ribosomal RNA is filed under the name uncultured Porphyromonadaceae bacterium. RNAcentral describes it as "partial 16S ribosomal RNA". It matches the Rfam family "Bacterial small subunit ribosomal RNA", at positions 355 to 774 of the family's 1533-position model. The record is from RNAcentral. Lineage: Bacteria; Pseudomonadati; Bacteroidota; Bacteroidia; Bacteroidales; Porphyromonadaceae.